This 405-nucleotide ribosomal RNA is filed under the name uncultured bacterium. RNAcentral describes it as "bacterial SSU rRNA". It matches the Rfam family "Bacterial small subunit ribosomal RNA", at positions 355 to 776 of the family's 1533-position model. The record is from RNAcentral.
GGAGGAAUAUUGCACAAUGGGCGACAGCCCGAUGCAGCAACGCCGCGUGGAGGACGACGGCCUUCGGGUCGUAAACUCCUUUUGAGGGAGACGAGAAAGGACGGUAUCCCUCGAAGAAGCCACGGCUAACUACGUGCCAGCAGCCGCGGUAAAACGUAGGUGGCGAGCGUUAUCCGGAUUCAUUGGGCGUAAAGAGCUUGUAGGUGGCCUUGUAAGUUGGACGUGAAAGCCCCGGGCUUAACUCGGGGAGGCCGUUCAAUACUGCGGGGCUGGAGGAUGUCAGAGGGGAGUGGAAUUCCUGGUGUAGCAGUGAAAUGCGUAGAUAUCAGGAGGAACACCCGUGGCGAAGGCGGCUCCCUGGGGCAGCCCUGACACUGAGAAGCGAAAGCUGGGGGAGCAAACGGG